RNAcentral lists this unclassified non-coding RNA (224 nucleotides) under rhizosphere metagenome. RNAcentral's name for it is "partial ribosomal RNA internal transcribed spacer region". The record is from RNAcentral.
GUAGGUGAACCUGCGGAAGGAUCAUUAAAGAGCAAGGGUCUUCCAGGCCCGACCUCCAACCCUAUGUGUACUUACCUUCGUUGCUUUGGCGGGCCCGAUGGGGAAACUCACCGGCGGCCACAGGCUGUUGAGCGCCCGUCAAAGACCCAUCAAACCCUGUCAACUGUGCAGUCUGAGUACCAAUCUAAUAGUUAAAACUUUCAACAACGGAUCUCUUGGUUCUG